RNAcentral lists this long non-coding RNA (4721 nucleotides) under Brassica napus (rape). RNAcentral's name for it is "long non-coding RNA (BNAP_LNC014141)". The record is from RNAcentral. Lineage: Eukaryota; Viridiplantae; Streptophyta; Magnoliopsida; Brassicales; Brassicaceae.
UUCUCUUAACAGCUACAAAAAGGAAGACGUUAGUGCAGCGAUAAGAGGAGAAGCUGCUAAUUCCCUGGACUCUGUAGACGUGUUUCUCUGAAAACAGAAGUGCCACCAGAACCAGCUGGUGAAGGUGAUGAAGCUAUGUAGUUUGUUCCUGACGCAGACACAGUGCCUCCUCCCGCAGCAGCACUUGGAUUCCCCGGUUGAGUUGGACCCACGCGUGGGCUCCAUCGAGAAGGAUGCGGAGCCUGAGAACACAGCAACAACAUUCAAUUCCAAAAUGCAAAACUACUCUACGACUAGGGCUUGAGCAAGAAGUAACUUUUGAAUGUAUACCAUAUUGUGCUGUGAAAAGGCGGCUGCUCUUCUGAGCGGAGAUUCAGAUGAUGAAGAAGCACCGCAUAGUCGAAGAACACUGGGAGUUUGAGCAUUAUUAUGAUUCCCUGCAUCAUUCGUCUCUCCGCCUUCCAUGUGAGUACCAGCAUUACCUCCAGAGUCAUUAGAGACAUCUACAUGGAGUGGAAGAGAAGGACGAGACGAUGUUGUUCCUGGCUGUUGCGUGAUGCUGCUGCGCCUUUUCAAUUCUUCCUCAGCAUUCAGAAUCUGUGAACAUCCGUCAAUUUUGACAUGAAUAAUAACGAUAAACAGCAUGUGUAUUGACAUAGCAGAAAGAAAGUGCACUGACCAGCUUAAGAACUUGGACGAGAUUGUGUUUCUUUGCAUUCAACACUUGUAAUCUCUCCUCCACUUGUUUCUCUUCUUUCUCUAUUUCGCUUGGUACUACUUCUUCAGCUGUUUCCUUUGCCUUGUGAAAACACAACAAUAAAGCUAGACACGAUAAGGACUCAACUGAUUGGUGUCAAUCUAAGGUAAGAUAACGAAACAACCUCAGAGAAAGCUUACAACUUUACGAGUUCAUGAAAGCCCCAAACUGAUAACUCUGUUGCAACUAACGCUACUUGAGGAGGGCGGGCACACAUCAAAGUAAGUUUCAUCAAAUCAGUUCACCUAAAAUUAGCAACCUUUCCUAAUCUCCUAUGUACUUCAUCGAACCACUAACACUUGUACUCAAAAUCUAUUGGAAUGUCUCAAAGAAGCAUACCUCCGCCUUAUGAUUCGCGGCUUCCUCGUGUGGUAAAUUAUCGGUUUCAUUAUUCGAUAGCAAUUCCAUCACUCCAUCUCCACCCCCCGAUCCUCCUGCUCGAGCUCCUUCAAUUCUGACAUUAUCCUCUUCCCUAACCUGAUUCCCACUAACCUCCUCUCUCUUCACCUCAACAAGCUUCUGUUUCCCGGACGAACCGGGCCGUUCAGAUGGAAUCGCAUCCUUCCGAUCCGUAGCCUGCUCAGACUUGACGUUAUGGCUCGGGUUAGGGUUAGGGUUAGAAUUAGGGGAGAGACGAGAAAGAGCUCGCUUGCGGCGGUGAAGGAGAGAUUUGAAGUCUUUGAAAGAGAGGUUGCGAUCCGGCAUCGUCCAGCGGCGAGGCACGUCGGGAACUUUGUGAAGGUUGCCUCUGUACAUGGAUAUCGCCACCAUCUCUUUCUUUUUUUCUUUUUUGGGUUCCGUCGUCGAAUUCGCCGUUUCGUUCUGCUACCGUGAUCCUAUGACGAAGGGAUUUCGAGUUGCGUGAUGUUUUGCUAUGCGAGAUGAGAAACGUGCGCCGUUUCUGUACACGAAAUUUCUAUGAUUGUAUUUAAGCCGAUGGGAAAGCCCACAAAUGUAUGUUUAAAGCCCAUUUACUAUCCAAUUUUAUUAUUAUUUCUUAAAUGUUAUAUCUAUCUAUCUUUUUUUUUUAACGAACAACAAAAACUAUAUCUAUAAAAAGUGAAAAUUCCCAAAAAAAUAGCUGAACUAAUUUACAUUUGCUAAAAAAUAUUUAAACAAUUUUGGUUCAUUUUUUAAAGGUUGAUAUCAUCAGUUUAGCGGUUUAAACCUUUCGAUUUUUCAGAAGUAUAAGUAUUAAUUGGCUAUAAAAUUAAAAUAAGUUAUAUAUUAUAUAGAAAGUCAAAAUAGUUUAUGUAUUUUUGAGAAAAUAAAAAUUAAUUUAAAUAUUUUUUGGUAAUUUCAAAACCAAGAAAAAACAUGAAAAUUAAGAGAUUUUGUUCUUCGAUCCGAUUUAAUUAUUUUCAAGGUUUUAGGUAGUUUAGGUUUUUAAAACUCUUAUUGAAAUUAACUGACUGAAAAUAUGAUUCAGUUUUUGGUUCUGGAUGAUAAAUUAUUGACCAAAGUUAACUGAUUCUUGGUAUUUUGGUUAAAUUAUUGCUAAAUUUGAUUAGUUCAGUUCUUUUGCUCAGAUAGUGUAUGUUUUGUAACAUUUUGGUAUACCUUGAUAAAAUUUGGUAUCCAUUAUUAGAAAACUAUAUAUUUUUUUAAAGCCGAGUUUUAUUGCAGAACAAAGUGUUUGUUGGAUCCACGAUCAAGAUUAUCGGUUUCAUUAAAAAAAAAUUUAUUAUCCGAUAAUCAACUUUCAUAUCCUCACAAUGUAUAUUAAAUCUGAAAUAAUAUAAUUAUUACCAUUUAUUAUCCAAUUUUAUUAUUAUCUCUUAAAGUUAUAUAUAUAUCUAUCUUUUUUUUCUGAACGAACAACAUCUAUACUAUACUAAAAGUUGCAUAUCCUCAAUAGAGAGGGUGUCCACCUCAGCUAGAAAAAUCAACCAAUCAUAAGCUUUCUUUAUGCCACUUCACAUCCUUCUUUGUCGACAUUGAAUUGCAAAUAGGCCUAAUAUUUUGGGUUUAUAAAAUUUGGCUGUGGCCCAUUUGAAACCUUUCUUACUCUUUCUUAGUCUCUUCCCUCGCUCUGGCUGAUAAUGAAAUAUGUAGACCCAUCUAUACCUUCUGCACGCACAGCCCAGUUGCACAUUGCAUCCUUACAUCAAAUAUACCACAAUUUUCUCGUGGAUUUGAAAAUAGUGUAAUCAAAAUUAUUCUUCAUCGCUAAAAUUUCCAUUGUUGCCUUCAGAACCCUUUACUUCUGAAAAUUUGAUCCUUCUUCACGAAAUCUCCUCUCCACGCUUGGCCAUCCUUUUCACUGUCUCCAUUGUUUUGACAAUCUCCAAUGAUUUCACUCCUUAAAGCAGCAUCACCGUAACCAUCCGCAGCGACAUGAUCCUUCCUUCUAACACAAGACUCUUUUGACGGCUUCACAAACUCUGCUCGAUUUAUCUCAGGAACUUCUUCAUCCUCAACAUUACUUGAAUCACAAGGCUCCUUAUUCAAAUCGAUAUUGACUCGUUCCUUUUGAUUUACACCAGAAACAGGGAACAUGACAUACAAGGUAGUAGACGAAUCCCUCUUUGCAUAGCCCACAAAAUUAGAUGCUUGCCGAUCAUUGGUGAUAAUAAUUGGAGAAUUCCCUCUUUGAUUCAACAACGAAUAACUGAGCUCGGCAUUAACGGCAUUAUGGUCCACCCCAUAAUCCUCACACACCAUGUCUUGAGCUGCUUCAACGUAGUAGUAGUUUCUAAUGUUACCAUUCGACCACGCCUUUCUUUGUCAACCACGAAACUCCACUCAUCACUACAACUAGACAUCCAUUCACCAGAUUUAACAUAGAUUAGAAGCGUGUUGUAUUGAUAGAGAAAAGAGAUGAUUAUGUUGAUGAAGAAGAGAGAAACACAAACAACGAAGAGAAAAAAUCGUGGGAGAAGGAGAAAAACGUGGGGAAAAAUAUUCUAUGAGAUAUUUAGGGAAGAUUUAGUUUAGAUUUAGGAAACGUCUUUAACCGAAUAUGGAAGUUUCCAUAUUUUCCGGAUUUCCCGUAGAAUAUAUAUUCUAGCUAACUCAAAACACAGUAGAGUAGAUGUGAAAUAUAUUCAUCCUUAAGCGCCACAUAAGGUAAAAACAGAACAUGUUAUGUCACAAAAUGUAGAUAAGGUAUAUCACUGCGUUGUGGCUAUAUAUCGUUAUCAAGCUGUAGGUAUACUGAAGACAUCUUUCUAGAAUAUAUAAGAAAUGCUAGUUUACGUUGUAUACCCAAGAUAUAUCUAUGUAUAAAACGUAGUAUCCAAUUUCUAGACUAAGUAGAUGACCAUAAUGAGUAUUCUAACUAUAGCUAGAAUAUAAAAUAAAAUAUGAUUCUACUUUAAAAAAAAACUUUUAAACAUAUAUAUUAUCCCAAUAGUUUUUAUAUUUUUUAACAUUUAUAAAAUUUAGUUUACUAUUUUUCCAUAAAAGAAGUGUAAAAUAUGUCUAGAAAUGUCUAAAAUAUGAGAAGUCCUAUUGUAAAUAAAAGUUAAUAGUUCAAAAUGUGUCAUUUUUCCAAUUUUCCCUUAAUUUAACCUCGCCCGACUAUUAAUUAUGGGAUUAGAAUACAUAUAAAUGGAAUAAGCAUAUAAAUAUUUAUUAGAUUUCUGAUACGGAAACUGAAUGUGUUACCAAUCUGAAAUUAAACUACAUUUUGUUACGGUCGGACCAAACAAUCUUCAGUGUAAAACAUCAUAUUUAUAGAACAAUCGCUAUGAACACGUUUCUGAUUAUCUCACAUUAGUUUUCUCUUAACAGCUACAAAAAGGAAGACGUUAGUGCAGCGAUAAGAGGAGAAGCUGCUAAUUCCCUGGACUCUGUAGACGUGUUUCUCUGAAAACAGAAGUGCCACCAGAACCAGCUGGUGAAGGUGAUGAAGCUAUGUAGUUUGUUCCUGACGCAGACACAGUGCCUCCUCCCGCAGCAGCACUUGGAUUCCCCGGUUGAGUUGGACCCACGCGUGGGCUCCAUCGAGAAGGAUGCGGAG